RNAcentral lists this long non-coding RNA (187 nucleotides) under Anas platyrhynchos platyrhynchos (common mallard). RNAcentral describes it as "lncRNA (ENSAPLG00000022365.1)". The record is from RNAcentral. Lineage: Eukaryota; Metazoa; Chordata; Aves; Anseriformes; Anatidae.
GGUUCAUGUGUUUCCUAUUAACCUGGGAUCUGAGCAACGCCCAUCACUUCAUCUAACACCUUGUGAGUGGUGGCCAGGGAUCUGAUGUUUUGUGAAACAAUGCUCCUCACAGCUGAUGAACCAGAAGGGAAAAUCUGCUGCUGGGACUCUUGGGAUCCCUCAUGGAAGAGCUAAAUCGGCUAUUUAG